This 253-nucleotide ribosomal RNA is filed under the name uncultured bacterium. Its description in RNAcentral is "partial 16S ribosomal RNA". It matches the Rfam family "Bacterial small subunit ribosomal RNA", at positions 524 to 776 of the family's 1533-position model. The record is from RNAcentral.
UACGUAGGGUGCAGGCGUUACUCGGAAUUACUGGGCGUAAAGCGUGCGUAGGUGGUGAGUUAAGUCUGUCGUGAAAGCCCCGGGCUCAACCUGGGAAUGGCGAUGGAUACUGGCUCGCUAGAGUGCGGUAGAGGAGAGUGGAAUUCCCGGUGUAGCAGUGAAAUGCGUAGAGAUCGGGAGGAACAUCAGUUGCGAAGGCGGCUCUCUGGACCAGCACUGACACUGAGGCACGAAAGCGUGGGGAGCAAACAGG